UACUUGGGNNNUAAAAGAGCAUGCNGGUGGUUUUGUUUAAGUCAAGAUGGUGAAAAGCCCGGGAGNCUANNCCUCGAGAAAUUGCAUUUGAAACUUGGCAAACUAGAGUACUGUAGAGGGGGGUAGAAUUUUCAGGGUGUAGCGGGUGAAAUGCGUAGAGAUCUGAAGGAAUACCCGGUGGCGAAGGCGGCCCCCUGGACAGAUACUGACACUCAGAUGCGAAAAGCGUGGGGAGCAAACAGGAUUAGAUACCCUGGUAGUCCACGCCGUAAAAUGAUGUCUACUUGGAGGUUGUGGCCUUGAGCCGUGGCUUUCGGAGCUAACGCGUUAAGUAGACCGCCUGGGGAGUACGGUCGCAAGAUUAAAACUCAAAUGAAUUGACGGGGGCCCGCACAAGCGGUGGAGCAUGUGGUUUAAUUCGAUGCAACGCGAAGAACCUUACCUACUCUUGACAUCUACAGAAGCCAGCGGAGACGCAGGUGUGCCUUCGGGAACUGUAAGACAGGUGCUGCAUGGCUGUCGUCAGCUCGUGUUGUGAAAUGUUGGGUUAAGUCCCGCAACGAGCGCAACCCUUAUCCUUGUUUGCCAGCACUUCGGGUGGGAACUCCAGGGAGACUGCCGGUGAUAAACCGGAGGAAGGUGGGGACGACGUCAAGUCAUCAUGGCCCUUACGAGUAGGGCUACACACGUGCUACAAUGGCGCAUACAGAGGGCGGCCAACUUGCGAAAGUGAGCGAAUCCCAAAAAGUGCGUCGUAGUCCGGAUUGGAGUCUGCAACUCGACUCCAUGAAGUCGGAAUCGCUAGUAAUCGUGGAUCAGAAUGCCACGGUGAAUACGUUCCCGGGCCUUGUACACACCGCCCGUCACACCAUGGGAGUGGGCUGCAAAAGAAGUGGGUAGUUUAACCUUCGGGAGGACGCUCACCACUUUGUGGUUCAUGACUGGGGUGAAGUCGUAACAAGGUAACCG
RNAcentral lists this ribosomal RNA (969 nucleotides) under uncultured bacterium. RNAcentral describes it as "bacterial SSU rRNA". It matches the Rfam family "Bacterial small subunit ribosomal RNA", at positions 547 to 1502 of the family's 1533-position model. The record is from RNAcentral.